This 566-nucleotide long non-coding RNA is filed under the name Coturnix japonica (Japanese quail). RNAcentral's name for it is "lncRNA (ENSCJPG00005003657.1)". Lineage: Eukaryota; Metazoa; Chordata; Aves; Galliformes; Phasianidae. The record is from RNAcentral.
AUUCUUUUGUCUUAAUUACAGGAAUAAGUGAUCCUGUCCAGAGGAUGCAAGAACCAUUUAAGUUUAUAUGCUCCUGUAGCUUUCUGCCACCGUAUUUUAAUAGCUUUCUGGGGCUAGAUAUGAAGAAGACAUUAUCUUUUGUCAUCCAUGAUUGUAUGCAACUGUGCACUGGCAUCAAGCAGCAACAAGUAAAGAGAAAAAAUAUCCUGCAGAAUUGAGGUAGCAGAGGUCCCCUGGAGCACAUGGACCCAUGAUGAUCAAGGCCUUGCUUACUCCGCAGUCCAGGUUUGCAACAAGAGCUGUGUCCUCCUUUCCAUAUAAUACUAUGCUAAAGAAGAUGACUCUUUCCCUACAAGACAGAUGCACCUUUCUAGUUACUGCAGAAAUUGCAAAUGCUCUGUUGGAAUAUUCUUAGAAGAACUGCAAAGUGAUACCAGCUGUGAGGAAUUUCUCUUCCCUUGCUUCUCAGAACAGCUCUUUCAAGGCAAAAAAGCUGGAAGGGGAGUAGUAGCUUGUGGAUUCCCGGAAAUAAUGGAAGAAGAAAAUAAUGAAAGGAGGAAAAAAAU